UGGCCUAGAGGGGAGUGCUUUCCCAGAGCCAAUGGCUGUCAGGCACACAUCUCACACACAGCACAGCUGUGAUGAUGGAUUCUACAGCCACUUCAGUUGCACACAAGUACUUUUGUGACACAACAGGAAAUUUGUAGUUUUCUUGGAUUCCCCCAGAGAGAAGAAUAUUACAACGUGUGACCAUGUUUCAGCCCAGACACUUUCAUUCUGAGGCCUUCAUUCUUCAUUUAAGAAAGAAUUGACCUCCUAUCUCUGUGUUUCCACAGCCCUGUCGCAAGGACCUAUCGGCCUAGGCAUUCUCCAUGGACCACAAAUGGUGUCUCACGGCAGUGGUGAAUCAAAAAGAUAUACUGUGUUGGGGGUGGGGGGUCCCAUAUCUCCUGAAACAGCAGAAGAAAAGUAGACACAGCGAGGAUGUCUCCAGAAACAGAACGGUCAGAGUGACUCUGCUACAGAAAAAGCUGAGGAAAGCCAGGAGCUCCCUCUUCUUGAUUUGGCCAAGAAUGAGGCGACGCACAACCAGAAGGGAGGGCUUGCCCCGCGGAGCACGAGAGCUGCUUUCCUUUCCACGUUUUAUGUUGCUUCACGGGAUUGAGUGGGGGUGGGGGGACAUCAGAGAACACUUUGCUUUCAUGUGCGUCCAUUUUUCUCACUGAGAGGCUACCGUCCAACCCACUGCGGGGGUGGGGGGUGGGGAGGCAAACUCUUACUUUCUUCAGAGAGGUCGUUCUCCUCCGCUUCUCUCUCCAUCUCCUUACACCAGC
Molecule: long non-coding RNA, 764 nt
Organism: Mesocricetus auratus (golden hamster)
Lineage: Eukaryota; Metazoa; Chordata; Mammalia; Rodentia; Cricetidae
Exons: 3
Source: RefSeq, a predicted model, not a curated record